RNAcentral lists this ribosomal RNA (254 nucleotides) under uncultured bacterium. RNAcentral's name for it is "partial 16S ribosomal RNA". It matches the Rfam family "Bacterial small subunit ribosomal RNA", at positions 524 to 776 of the family's 1533-position model. The record is from RNAcentral.
UACAGAGGGUGCGAGCGUUGUUCGGAAUUAUUGGGCGUAAAGAGCUCGUAGGCGGUUUGUCGCGUCUGCUGUGAAAACCCGAGGCUCAACCUCGGGCCUGCAGUGGGUACGGGCAGACUAGAGUGCGGUAGGGGAGAUUGGAAUUCCUGGUGUAGCGGUGGAAUGCGCAGAUAUCAGGAGGAACACCGAUGGCGAAGGCAGCUUGCUGGGACGUUUACUGACGCUAAGGCGCGAAAGCGUGGGGAGCGAACAGG